This is a long non-coding RNA of Physeter macrocephalus (sperm whale), 444 nucleotides long. RefSeq lists it as uncharacterized. The transcript has 3 exons. The record is from RefSeq and is a predicted model, not a curated record. NCBI's taxonomy places the organism in Eukaryota, Metazoa, Chordata, Mammalia, Artiodactyla, Physeteridae.
CAGGAUUCCCAACGUGAUUUAAACAGAAGUGGGAAGCAAGAAUCUGAUUGGGUCAAGAAAGAGCCUAGCCUUUUCCUAAGAAUUCACAGUUCGUUCUUCCUCCUCAGAUCUGCAACUUCACCUAUUCUUUUCCAUUAUUGGUUAUUACAAGAUAUUGAAUGCAGCAUUGUUAACAAAAAGAAAAAAGUGGAGCCAACCUAAAUAAACAUCCAACGAUAUGGAGCUGGUUAAGUUGUGGAAUAACAAGAAGUGAAAUAUGCGGUGAACAAAAGCCAAACAGCCUAAAGUAUUAAGGCGUUGCAAAACACUUACGAUAUGUUCAAACGCAGAUUACAAAACCCCCUGUAUAGGAAGAUUUUAUUUAAAAAUUAUAUUGCAUAUACAUUAAAAAGACAGGACAGCAGCAUUCUAAACUGUUGAUGGUGGUUGUUUCUCGGUAGUGGG